AUGAACACCGCCGUUCCCGUUUGUCUUGGUGCUCCCUUCCCUCCUCCUGCCCCUCUGCACGGACUCGCACCUCACACUCACGCCGGAAAGCCUCCGCACGAUUUUCCAUACGUCAUCCUCGCGCACGGAAGCGAAGGGAGAGCGCGCACGCAUAUCGCACAGGCUAGGCGCGUGAGCAGGAUUGGCUCAGGGCGCGUUCAAGUCUCGCGUGCGCAAGUCAUACAAAGAGGGGGAAUUCAUUGGCGGCAAACACAAGGCAUCCGCGAAAGAGGAGGAUCACGUCUAGCGCACCUCGUCUCCACCCUGUAGUGAGGUCGCGUGUAGGAGCCACUUGAUACAGCUCUUAGUAGGAAUAGGGAGCAGAGAAAUCCACCUAGGGGAAGAGGGAGAAGGUGCAAAACCACCAGAACAGCAACGGAAGAUCAGCCUCGAGAUGCAGGCUCGUAGGAAUAGCAUGAUGCGCCGCGUGGCGCGUCGUUACGCGCGUGUGCCUGGUGAGCACGGUGACGCGAGUGUGCCUGCCUUCUUCCCCAUCGCCAUCAAUCCCGGCUGGUGGGGACAGCCCUUUGGCAAGGUGAAGGACGGAACGAGUCAGCUCCUUUUCUUCUUUGGCAUCAUCUUCCCUGUCGCCUUCUACUGGUUAUUCGACGUCACGUUUGGCCAGCGCACGCGCAUCGCUCAAGUCGGCAAGAGGGCAAUGGCCUCAAACUUUCUUUUUAGACAGCUCGACCUCGACGACCCGGAUCACGCUAUCAAGUAUGAGCAGCUACAGCAGGAGAUGGCAGAGAACAAGCUGGACGUCCGCUGGGGUGGCACGAACUUCCUGGCUAGCUACCUUUGGCAGCCCGGCGACCCAGAACCGGACAUCCGCCGCAAGGAGGCACCCGCGCAUCAUCACCAUCACUAACACGGUCAUCAGUUGGAUGCGAGGGAGGCCGAGGCAAGUGGGCCCUCGUCACGCGCCGCGUGUUCUUAGUACGAGACGACCUCUGCGUGCACCGUAUCGAGCGCGUGCUUGUGUGCACAUAUACAUAUGCGUGUGUGUGUGUGUGCCGAGGCUCUGCUGUGCGAGCGCGUGUGCGUGGGCCGGGGGAGAGUCUCGCUUUUCGUGCGCUGGAGUCGUGAGCCUUCCACAAAGGAGAGAGGACGGGGGCGAGGUGGGGAACGCCCAGGGCGAAAGGUCUACCACACUGCGCGUGUGUCAGCUGCCAUUUCCACUGCUGCCAAAGAAAACAUGCAUGCCAGGGCCAGGCUGCACAGGCGGCAGUGCGCCAGCGGACGCCGCUGCUUCGUGACGCCGGUGACAACGCACCGGUAUGUGCUCCUCCUUCUUUGCCAGCGCGACAAUGCAAGUGGAUCGCGUGCGCUUGCGCGCCCAGCUCGCCGUCCACUGAUGUCUUUCUACACCUCACUACCACACGUGUCUUCUCCCUUGACCAGCUUGUGCGACGUCUCUCUUUUUGUUUUCGUUUUCUUCGUGCGGCUUGGUAGCCGAUCGUCUGCCGUGGGCCCUUACGUCGAGAGCCAUCGCCGUGCCGUUCUCCGUUCACUGGGCUGCACCGCCGUCGAAACGAAUACGACCAAGCGAAAAGCAAAAAAAAACGUUCAAGCGACGACCCCAACAAAAAGAGCAAACAACGCGCUGCGAGAGCCACCCGUUGUGCGGUGCUCUCGGCCUUACGCACCUACGCUUCGUCCAUCUGGGGCUGCGUAUUGCGCAUGCACACGCUCUCACACUAGGAAUAAAGGCACUGCAUAAUUCCGCUUAGCCAACACGGAG
This 1780-nucleotide unclassified non-coding RNA is filed under the name Leishmania donovani. Its description in RNAcentral is "gene:LdHU3.27.2140(CDS-product:hypothetical_prote in_conserved)". Lineage: Eukaryota; Euglenozoa; Kinetoplastea; Trypanosomatida; Trypanosomatidae. The record is from RNAcentral.